RNAcentral lists this ribosomal RNA (773 nucleotides) under uncultured Neocallimastigales. RNAcentral describes it as "partial large subunit ribosomal RNA". It matches the Rfam family "Eukaryotic large subunit ribosomal RNA", at positions 24 to 643 of the family's 3401-position model. The record is from RNAcentral. Lineage: Eukaryota; Fungi; Neocallimastigomycota; Neocallimastigomycetes; Neocallimastigales.
UAUCUCUGUAGAGUCUGCAUAUCAAUAAGCGGAGGAAAAGAAACUAACAAGGAUUCCCUUAGUAACGGCGAGUGAAGCGGGAAGAGCUCAAAUUUGAAAUCUUCAAGGUUCUACCUUGACGAAUUGUAGUUUAAAGAAGUGUUUUCUGUUAGAUGAGUAGCAAAAGUUCCUUGGAAUGGGACAUCAUAGAGGGUGAGAAUCCCGUAUUUGGUUAUUCAUUCUAGCUUUGUGAUACACUUUCAAAGAGUCGGAUUGUUUGGGAAUGCAGUCCAAAAUGGGUGGUAAAUUUCAUCUAAAGCUAAAUAUUGGCGAGAGACCGAUAGCGAACAAGUACCGUGAGGGAAAGAUGAAAAGAACUUUGAAAAGAGAGUUAAACAGUACGUGAAAUUGUCAAAAGGGAAGCGUUUGACACCAGUGUUGUUUUUCCGAAAAUCAAUUACGAAUGGCUUGAUUUUGUGUUGUAUUGACCUUAUCAGCUUUCUUCACUUUUUUCGAGUCUUUCUUAAUGCACUUUUCGGUUAACAAGUCAACAUCAAUUUCUUUUGUUGUAAAAGAGUAUUCGGAAGGUGGCUUUCUUUUCGGAGAAGGUGUUUAUAGCCCUAUACUUCUACAAUCGGAGAGAUUGAGGUCUGCAGCGUAGAUCCUUCGGGGUUAGAUACACUUGUGCUAAGUUGUAGCUUUUCAUAGACAACUUGUUGACUAUGUUUAGUCAUGCGGCUUACUCGCUUGUGCUAUUUUACCUACGCUUAGGAUGUUGACUGAUAUGUAGUCGU